Molecule: ribosomal RNA, 368 nt
Filed under: uncultured bacterium
Lineage: Bacteria
Description: bacterial SSU rRNA
Rfam family: Bacterial small subunit ribosomal RNA
Source: RNAcentral
AUUGAACGCUGGCGGCAUGGCUAAAACAUGCAAGUCGAGCGCGAAAGGGAGCAAUCCCCGUGUAGAGCGGCGAAAGGGUGAGUAAUGCGUUCCUACGUGCCUCAAGGUCGGGGAGUAGCCAGGGGAAACGUACUGGGUAAUACCCGAUGUGGUCGCAAGAUCAAAGGCUUGCCGCCUUGAGAGCGGGGAACGUCCUAUCAGGUAGUUGGUGAGGUAACGGCUCACCAAGCCAUUGACGGGUAGCGGGUGUGAGAGCAUGGCCCGCCACAUCGAAACUGAGACACUGUUCGGACUCCUACGGGAGGCUGCAGUAACGAAUCUUCCGCAAUGCGCGAAAGCGUGACGAGCAAUGCCGCGUGCAGGAUGAA